UCGUGUCGUGAGAUGUUGGGUUAAGUCCCGCAACGAGCGCAACCCUCACCUCUUGUUGCCAUCAGGUCAUGCUGGGCACUCUAGAGGAACUGCCCCGGUCAACGGGGAGGAAGGCGGGGAUGACGUCAAGUCAUCAUGCCCCUUACGUCCUGGGCUACACACGUGCUACAAUGGACGGUACAGAGGGUCGCAAAGCCGCGAGGUUGAGCUAAUCCCAUAAAACCGUCCUCAGUACGGAUUGCAGUCUGCAACUCGACUGUAUGAAGCAGGAAUCGCUAGUAAUCGC
Molecule: ribosomal RNA, 286 nt
Filed under: uncultured Methylomirabilota bacterium
Lineage: Bacteria; Methylomirabilota (SeqCode)
Description: uncultured candidate division NC10 bacterium partial 16S ribosomal RNA
Rfam family: Bacterial small subunit ribosomal RNA
Source: RNAcentral